CUGCAAGUCGAACGCAUCUUGGGGGGCAACUCCCGAGAUGAGUGGCGAACGGGUGAGUAACACGUGAGUAAUCUUCCCUCGAGUGAGGAAUAAGCCUGCGAAAGCGGGUCUAAUACCGCAUAAUACUUUGGGGCAUAAGCUUUCAGAGUCAAAGCCGGAAGGCGCUCGAGGAUGAGCCUGCGGCCUAUUAGCUAGUUGGUAGGGUAAUGGCCUACCAAGGUUAUGAUGGGUAGCCGGCCUGAGAGGGUGUUCGGCCACACUGGGACUGAGACACGGCCCAGACUCCUACGGGAGGCAGCAGUGAGGAAUUUUGCGCAAUGGGCGAAAGCUUGACGCAGCAACGCCGCGUGGAUGAUGAAGCUCUAAGGAGUGUAAAGUCCUGUUAGAAGGGAAGAACAACUUUCAGUCGAAUAGAAUGAAGGUUUGACGG
RNAcentral lists this ribosomal RNA (430 nucleotides) under uncultured bacterium. RNAcentral describes it as "bacterial SSU rRNA". It matches the Rfam family "Bacterial small subunit ribosomal RNA", at positions 55 to 475 of the family's 1533-position model. The record is from RNAcentral.